This 18-nucleotide small nuclear RNA is filed under the name Arabidopsis thaliana (thale cress). Its description in RNAcentral is "snRNA_02020". The record is from RNAcentral. Lineage: Eukaryota; Viridiplantae; Streptophyta; Magnoliopsida; Brassicales; Brassicaceae.
GAGCGGCCGUCGGUGCAG